UUUAAUUUAUAGCUCCCUCUCGUCAUACUCCGGCUCUCUAUAGACGAUGUGGGACUAAAAGUUUAUUUGUUGCCUCACAUACGUGAUACGUCCUGGAGCAGUUAACAGCCCACGACCCACAUAUAUGCCACAGCCCAAAGCCACUAGACAGCCCAAUAGCCAACCUGUGAAACCCUCGACAACAGACGCUCGUCCGGCGUCCGCACUCCGCAAGGCGAGGUCGCGCCGCCGGCUGCCACCUCCGGGCUCUAGCCCUCCGCCGCUUGGCUAGCGCCUGCUCCAUCUGUGCCCCGUCGCAGUCGCAACUCGCA
RNAcentral lists this long non-coding RNA (311 nucleotides) under Sorghum bicolor (sorghum). RNAcentral describes it as "long non-coding RNA (SBIC_LNC009020)". The record is from RNAcentral. Lineage: Eukaryota; Viridiplantae; Streptophyta; Magnoliopsida; Poales; Poaceae.